CCUACGGGAGGCAGCAGUGAGGAAUAUUGGUCAAUGGACGAGAGUCUGAACCAGCCCAGUAGCGUGAAGGAUGACUGCCCUAUGGGUUGUAAACUUCUUUUAUAUGGGAAUAAAACGUUCCACGUGUGGGAUUUUGUAUGUACCAUAUGAAUAAGGAUCGGCUAACUCCGUGCCAGCAGCCGCGGUAAUACGGAGGAUCCGAGCGUUAUCCGGAUUUAUUGGGUUUAAAGGGAGCGUAGGUGGAUUGUUAAGUCAGUUGUGAAAGUUUGCGGCUCAACCGUAAAAUUGCAGUUGAAACUGGCAGUCUUGAGUACAGUAGAGGUGGGCGGAAUUCGUGGUGGAGCGGUGAAAUGCUUAGAUAUCACGAAGAACUCCGAUUGCGAAGGCAGUUCACUGGACUGCAACUGACACUGAGGCUCGAAAGUGUGGGUAUCAAACAGGAUUAGAUACCCCUGUAGUC
This 460-nucleotide ribosomal RNA is filed under the name uncultured bacterium. RNAcentral's name for it is "partial 16S ribosomal RNA". It matches the Rfam family "Bacterial small subunit ribosomal RNA", at positions 338 to 795 of the family's 1533-position model. The record is from RNAcentral.